GUCUACAACCAUGCUACCCUGAACAAACCUGAUCCCCUCUGAUCUCGGAAGCUAAGCAGGGUCAGGCCUGGUUAGUACUUGGAUGGGAGACUACCUAGGAAGACCAGGUGCUGUAAGCG
This 119-nucleotide ribosomal RNA is filed under the name Pteropus alecto (black flying fox). The record is from RNAcentral. RNAcentral also lists the same sequence under 1 other name. Lineage: Eukaryota; Metazoa; Chordata; Mammalia; Chiroptera; Pteropodidae.